AGUGAACGCUGGCGGUAGGCCUAACACAUGCAAGUCGAACGGCAGCACAGUAAGAGCUUGCUCUUACGGGUGGCGAGUGGCGGACGGGUGAGGAAUACAUCGGAAUCUACUUUUUCGUGGGGGAUAACGUAGGGAAACUUACGCUAAUACCGCAUACGACCUACUGGUGAAAGCAGGGGAUCUUCGGACCUUGCGCGAUUGAAUGAGCCGAUGUCGGAUUAGCUAGUUGGCGGGGUAAAGGCCCACCAAGGCGACGAUCCGUAGCUGGUCUGAGAGGAUGAUAAGCCACACUGGAACUGAGACACGGUCCAGACUCCGACGGGAGGAAGCAGUGGGGAAUAUUGGACAAUGGGCGAAAGCCUGAUCCAGCCAUACAGCGUGGGUGAAGAAGGACUUCGGGUUGUAAAGCCCUUUUGUUGGGAAAGAAAAGCAGCAGGUUAAUACCCAGCUGUUCUGACGGUACCCAAAGAAUAAGCACCGGCUAACUUCGUG
This 492-nucleotide ribosomal RNA is filed under the name uncultured bacterium. RNAcentral's name for it is "partial 16S ribosomal RNA". It matches the Rfam family "Bacterial small subunit ribosomal RNA", at positions 29 to 507 of the family's 1533-position model. The record is from RNAcentral.